RNAcentral lists this small nuclear RNA (107 nucleotides) under Jaculus jaculus (lesser Egyptian jerboa). The record is from RNAcentral. Lineage: Eukaryota; Metazoa; Chordata; Mammalia; Rodentia; Dipodidae.
GUGCUCACUUUGGCAGCACAUAUACUAAAAUUGGAACAAUACAGAGAAGACUAGAAUGGCUCCUACACAAGGAUGACACACAAAUUUGUGAAGCAUUCCAUACUUUU